UGGGGAAUAUUGCACAAUGGGGGAAACCCUGAUGCAGCGACGCCGCGUGAACGAAGAAGGUAUUCGUAUCGUAAAGUUCUGUCCUAUGGGAAGAUAAUGAUAGUACCAUAGAAGAAAGCUCCGGCUAAAUACGUGCCAGCAGCCGCGGUAAUACGUAUGGAGCGAGCGUUGUCCGGAAUUAUUGGGCGUAAAGGGUACGCAGGCGGUUUAAUAAGUCGAAUGUUAAAGAUCGGGGCUCAACCCCGUAAAGCAUUGGAAACUGAUAAACUUGAGUAGUGGAGAGGAAAGUGGAAUUCCUAGUGUAGUGGUGAAAUACGUAGAUAUUAGGAGGAAUACCAGUAGCGAAGGCGACUUUCUGGACACAAACUGACGCUGAGGUACGAAAGCGUGGGGAGCAAACAGG
RNAcentral lists this ribosomal RNA (403 nucleotides) under bacterium. RNAcentral describes it as "partial 16S ribosomal RNA". It matches the Rfam family "Bacterial small subunit ribosomal RNA", at positions 355 to 776 of the family's 1533-position model. RNAcentral also lists the same sequence under 1 other name. The record is from RNAcentral.